This 775-nucleotide ribosomal RNA is filed under the name uncultured Neocallimastigales. RNAcentral describes it as "partial large subunit ribosomal RNA". It matches the Rfam family "Eukaryotic large subunit ribosomal RNA", at positions 22 to 646 of the family's 3401-position model. Lineage: Eukaryota; Fungi; Neocallimastigomycota; Neocallimastigomycetes; Neocallimastigales. The record is from RNAcentral.
AUAGCGACUAUCGUGGCAUAUCAAUAAGCGGAGGAAAAGAAACUAACAAGGAUUCCCUUAGUAACGGCGAGUGAAGCGGGAAGAGCUCAAAUUUGAAAUCUUCAAGGUUCUACCUUGACGAAUUGUAGUUUAUAGAAGUGUUUUCUGUUAGUGGAGUGGCAAAAGUUCUUUGGAAUAGGACAUCAUAGAGGGUGAGAAUCCCGUAUUUGGUCAUUCCUCCUAGCGUUGUGAUACACUUUCAACGAGUCGGAUUGUUUGGGAAUGCAGUCCAAAAUGGGUGGUAAAUUUCAUCUAAAGCUAAAUAUUGGCGAGAGACCGAUAGCGAACAAGUACCGUGAGGGAAAGAUGAAAAGAACUUUGAAAAGAGAGUUAAACAGUACGUGAAAUUGUCAAAAGGGAAGCGUUUGACACCAGUGUUGUUUUUCCGAAAAUCAAUUACGAAUGUUUUGUUUUUAAGAAGUUAUGACUUCAUCGGCUUGCUUCUUUCUUUACGAAACUUUCUUAAUGCACUUUUCGGUUAACAAGUCAACAUCAAUUUCUUUUGUUGUAAAAGGGUACGAGGAAGGUGGCUUUCUUUUCGGAGAAAGUGUUUAUAGCCUUUGACCUCUGCAAUCGGAGAGAUUGAGGUCUGCAGCGUAGAUCCUUCGGGGUUAGAUACAUUUGUGCUAAGUUAUAGUUUUUCAUAGACAACUUGUUGACUAUGAUUUAAUCAUUGUAGCUUACUCGCUUAUGCUAUUUUACCUACGCUUAGGAUGUUGACGAGACUGUCGAUCUC